Molecule: small RNA, 28 nt
Filed under: Bombyx mori (domestic silkworm)
Lineage: Eukaryota; Metazoa; Arthropoda; Insecta; Lepidoptera; Bombycidae
Description: ovarian small RNA-22536
Source: RNAcentral
UAGCUGUAGUCGAUGACGCUCCUGCCUU